CCUACGUGUGGCAGCAGUGGGGAAUAUUGGACAAUGGGGGCAACCCUGAUCCAGCGACGCCGCGUGAGUGAAGAAGUAUUUCGGUAUGUAAAGCUCUAUCAGCAGGGAAGAAAGUGACGGUACCUGACUAAGAAGCGACGGCUAACUACGUGAGAGCAGCCGCGGUAAGACGUAGGGGGCAAGCGUUACCCGGAUUUACUGGGUGGAAAGGGCACGUAGACGGUGCAGCAAGUCUGAUGUGAAAGGUCGGGGCCCAACCCCGGGACUGCAUUGGAAACUGGUGAACUGGAGUACAGGAGAGGUGAGCAGAAUUCCAGGUGUAGCGGUGAAAUGCGUAGAUAUUAGGAGGAACACCAGUGGCGAAGGCGGCCUACUGGACUGUAACUGACGUUGAGGCUCGAAAGCGUGGGGAGCAAACAGGAUUAGAUACCCGUGUAGUC
Molecule: ribosomal RNA, 440 nt
Filed under: uncultured bacterium
Lineage: Bacteria
Description: partial 16S ribosomal RNA
Rfam family: Bacterial small subunit ribosomal RNA
Source: RNAcentral